UCUCUCAUAAGCAUUGACAGCUACCCAGGGUGCAGUCACUAAAGAGGGCUUGGCCAGGGGCUUUCCCCUGGUCCUGGUACUGCCACUACACACAUUUCCCUCCAGUCAGCCCAGGAUAAGGGGAGUCUUGUGGUAGCUGCGGCCGUGGCUGACGGGCUGCCUGCAUUAGACCUUCAGUACCCAUCUGGAAGUCUAAUCAUGCUUCCUGUUGGGGUUUGACAUUUCCGGGGUGCCUCUUGUCUCCCACAGCUGUUGGCACAGUAGGCAGAGGACUCAAGAACUCAAAUCACAUGGCAAUCCAGCCUUUUCUCUUAGAAGGAAAAUGUGCCCAUUUGUCCCAGCUCAUCAGCCACUCCCAGACCUGGUAGGUGUGGAGUUCAGUUUGAGGAACCUGAGGAACCUGCUACCUUGGUUGAGGAAAGAGAAGCAGGGCCUGAGCCCUUAGGAACCCGUCUGUAGCCUGUUAUCGACAGAAUGUGGAUUCCUGAAUAUUGCCCAGGAGUCACCAGGCCUUCCCUGGGCAUCACCUGGUGCCAUCCUUUUCCUGCAGCCUAAAUCUCAGGAGUCAUGUUCUGCAAGGUUCCUCAGAACAGGUUCUUCCAAAUUAUAGGCACAGUACUGCCCUAGCACAGAGGUUGAUAAUGACUCUAUGACCCAAUCCGGCCCACUGCCUGGUUUUAUAUGACCUGUGUCAUCUUAGAAUGGCCCUUCCAUCUUUAAAUGGCUGGGGGAAAAUACGUCAGGAUACGUGAAUAUGCUGUGAAACUCACUUCUCAGUGUCUAUAAAUAAAGUCUCUAGGAACGCA
Non-coding RNA from Ictidomys tridecemlineatus (thirteen-lined ground squirrel), 806 nucleotides. Lineage: Eukaryota; Metazoa; Chordata; Mammalia; Rodentia; Sciuridae. The record is from RefSeq and is a predicted model, not a curated record.